CCUAAUACAUGCAAGUUCGAGCGAAUGGAUUAAGAGCUUGCUCUUAUGAAGUUAGCGGCGGACGGGUGAGUAACACGUGGGUAACCUGCCCAUAAGACUGGGAUAACUCCGGGAAACCGGGGCUAAUACCGGAUAACAUUUUGAACCGCAUGGUUCGAAAUUGAAAGGCGGCUUCGGCUGUCACUUAUGGAUGGACCCGCGUCGCAUUAGCUAGUUGGUGAGGUAACGGCUCACCAAGGCAACGAUGCGUAGCCGACCUGAGAGGGUGAUCGGCCACACUGGGACUGAGACACGGCCCAGACUCCUACGGGAGGCAGCAGUAGGGAAUCUUCCGCAAUGGACGAAAGUCUGACGGAGCAACGCCGCGUGAGUGAUGAAGGCUUUCGGGUCGUAAAACUCUGUUGUUAGGGAAGAACAAGUGCUAGUUGAAUAAGCUGGCACCUUGACGGUACCUAACCAGAAAGCCACGGCUAACUACGUGCCAGCAGCCGCGGUAAUACGUAGGUGGCAAGCGUUAUCCGGAAUUAUUGGGCGUAAAGCGCGCGCAGGUGGUUUCUUAAGUCUGAUGUGAAAGCCCACGGCUCAACCGUGGAGGGUCAUUGGAAACUGGGAGACUUGAGUGCAGAAGAGGAAAGUGGAAUUCCAUGUGUAGCGGUGAAAUGCGUAGAGAUAUGGGAGGAACACCAGUGGCGAAAGGCGGACUUUUCUGGGUCUUGUAACUGACCCUGA
This 729-nucleotide ribosomal RNA is filed under the name Bacillus cereus. RNAcentral's name for it is "bacterial SSU rRNA". It matches the Rfam family "Bacterial small subunit ribosomal RNA", at positions 47 to 749 of the family's 1533-position model. Lineage: Bacteria; Bacillati; Bacillota; Bacilli; Caryophanales; Bacillaceae. The record is from RNAcentral.